This 1307-nucleotide ribosomal RNA is filed under the name Olea europaea subsp. europaea. RNAcentral describes it as "Bacterial large subunit ribosomal RNA". It matches the Rfam family "Bacterial large subunit ribosomal RNA", at positions 655 to 2044 of the family's 2925-position model. The record is from Rfam by way of RNAcentral. Lineage: Eukaryota; Viridiplantae; Streptophyta; Magnoliopsida; Lamiales; Oleaceae.
ACUAACUUAUGCUCUGACCUGAGUAGCAUGGGACACGUGGAAUUGUCACUACUUAUGGACCCGAACCUAGGUGAUCUAUCCAUGACCAGGAUAAAGCUUAGGUAAAAUUAAGUGGAGGUCCGAACAGACUGAUGUUGAGGAAUUAGCAGAUGAGCUGUGGUUAGAAGUGAAAUGUCUAGUUCUCCUUGAAAUGCGUUGAGGCACAACAAUUGAAUGGACAUCUACGGGUAUAACAUUGUGUUGGUGCGGGCCAUGAGAGUGGUACCAAAUCGAGACAAACUCUGAAUACUAGAUAUGACCUCAAAAUAAUAGUGGUCAAGGUCGACCAGUGAGAUGAUGGUGGAUAAGCUUUAUCGUCGAGAGGGAAACAACCCAGAUUACCAGCACAGGCUCCUAAAUUAUUCCUCAGUGAUAAGGUACAAAGACUGCCAGAAGUUUGCCUAGAAAUAGCGACCCCUGGAAGAGUGCAUAAUACUUCACUGAUCGAAUGGCUCUUGCGCCGAAGACGAACGAGGCUAAGCGAUCUACCGAAGGUAUAGGAUGUAAAAAUACAUCGGUUAGGAGAGCGUUCCGCCUUAGAAGGAAGCUCCCGUGCAAGCAGUGAUGGACGCAAAAAUUUGUGAAAAUCCAAUGCCUCAAAAAAUCUAGGAGUUCCUCUGUAAGGUUCAUCCACGAAAGGUGAGUCAAGGCCUAAGAUUAGGUCGAAAGCAUAGUUAAUGGAUAGCAUGUGAAUAUUAUUGUACUACCCCCUUGUUGCUUCUGAGGGAUGGAAGAGGUUAGAUUAGCCGAAAGCUGGUUAUUAGUUCAAGAAUGUAAGGUGACCCUAUUUUUUAGGGUAAGAAGGAGUAAAGAAAAUGCCUCAAGCCAAUAUUUGAGCACCAGGUGCUAAGAUGCUGAAGUAACCCACGCCAUACUCCCAGGAAAGCUCGAACGACCUUUAAAUAAAAGGAUACCUGUAUCCAAGACAAGUCUCUCUAAGAAACUCAACAAAAUAGCCCCACAACUUCAGGAGAAUGAGCGCCUCCUCACAAAAGGGUAACAGUGACCAGGGACUAGCAACUGUUUACCAAAAACACAAGUCUCCACAAAGUCGUACAACCAUGUAUGGGAGCUGAUGUCUGUCCAAUGUUGAAAGGUCAAGGAAGUUGGUAACCUGAUGAUGGGGAGCAGGCGACCGAAACCCCAAUGAACAGCGACCGUAACAAUAAUAAUCCUAAGGUAGCGAAAUUCGUUAUUGGAUAAGUUUCGACCCGCACGAAAGGCAUAACAAGCUGGGCAUUGUUUCAAAGAGAAGCUUGAUGAAAUAG